UGUGGUUGCAUUCCAGGCUGUUGCCUAUAGCCAAAAUAACAACAUUAAAUGGCUUGCAGUAAAUAAUUCUCCAGAACUAAAGAAGAAUGAAAUUGUAAAACACAGGAAACAAGUAAAUGAGAUCUGGUAGCCAGAAAAUUACUCAGCUGGCAGGUCCUGUCAAUGAACAUCUUUCUACCAAUGUAAUAAGUUUAAUCGACAUAUUUGUGCUCUGGACAUAACAAGGCCUAAUAGAGUCUAAGGGCGGGCUUUCAUCCACAUUUUCAAAUUCCCAUUUCAAAAAUACAUACGCAUGAAAACCAUAUACAUAAGAAUACAAUCCCCCCUACCAAAAA
This 335-nucleotide unclassified non-coding RNA is filed under the name Hevea brasiliensis (rubber tree). The record is from RNAcentral. Lineage: Eukaryota; Viridiplantae; Streptophyta; Magnoliopsida; Malpighiales; Euphorbiaceae.